CGUGUACCGGUGGGGUCCCUCAGCCUGGCCUGUACCCUCUCACAACCCGAGACCCCUCAGGGGAUGUCAGGGAGCCAGUUUCAGCCCAAUCCUUGCAGGCCAGGCUGGGGGACCCCACCAGUGCACG
This 127-nucleotide microRNA precursor is filed under the name Myotis brandtii (Brandt's bat). Its description in RNAcentral is "mir-9193 microRNA precursor family". It matches the Rfam family "mir-9193 microRNA precursor family". Lineage: Eukaryota; Metazoa; Chordata; Mammalia; Chiroptera; Vespertilionidae. The record is from Rfam by way of RNAcentral.